UCCUUGUGCAGUUCAUGAUGGUGUGGCAGCGGUAUAGAGAGAAUGGGUCCUGCAGCUUGGCCAGGCGCUCCUCUGUGAAGUCAUCUCUGGAGUCAAUCAUCCAGCGAUAGGCCUGCAUAAGAACUGCAGGCCCCAGAUAUUUGUCUCCGUUCCACCAGUAGCUGGGGCAGCUGGUGCUACAGCAGGCACAGAGAAUGCACUCGUAGAGCCCGUCCAGUUUCUCACGCUCUUCUAUGGACUGCAGAUACUGCUGCUUGCCUUCCUGAGAUUCAUCCUUCUUCUUCAAAUAAGGCUCAAUGGAUU
Molecule: long non-coding RNA, 303 nt
Filed under: Homo sapiens (human)
Lineage: Eukaryota; Metazoa; Chordata; Mammalia; Primates; Hominidae
Description: LNC_000047
Source: RNAcentral